Molecule: unclassified non-coding RNA, 200 nt
Filed under: soil metagenome
Description: partial contains internal transcribed spacer 2 and large subunit ribosomal RNA
Source: RNAcentral
GUUCGAGCGUCAUUUCAACCCUCAAGCGCAGCUUGGUGUUGGAUGUCACCUCUAGGUGCGUCCUAAAACAAUCGGCGGUGGCAUUCAGCUUCUAGCGGAGUAACUCAUCUCGCUCUGGAGCCUGGAUGUCCCACAGCCAAAACACUGAUCUUUAAUCAAAGGUUGACCUCGGAUCAGGUAGGGAUACCCGCUGAACUUAA